This 379-nucleotide ribosomal RNA is filed under the name Candidatus Cloacimonadota bacterium. RNAcentral describes it as "bacterial LSU rRNA". It matches the Rfam family "Bacterial large subunit ribosomal RNA", at positions 2544 to 2925 of the family's 2925-position model. The record is from RNAcentral. Lineage: Bacteria; Pseudomonadati; Candidatus Cloacimonadota.
AUCCUGGGGCUGAAGAAGGUCCCAAGGGUUCGGCUGUUCGCCGAUUAAAGAGUUACGCGAGCUGGGUUCAGAACGUCGUGAGACAGUUCGGUCCCUAUCCUUCGUGGGCGUAGGAAAUUUGAGGGGAACUGCAUUUAGUACGAGAGGACCGGUGCGGACGAACCUCUGGUGUAUCGGUUGUCACGCCAGUGGCAUUGCCGAGUAGCUAAGUUCGGACUGGAUAACCGCUGAAAGCAUCUAAGCGGGAAGCCAACCCCAAGAAAGAUUUCCCCAUCAGAUACGUUGGAGACUACAACGUUGAUAGGUCACAGGUGUAAUCACAGCAAUGUGUUAAGCCGAGUGAUACUAAUAAAUCGAAUGUUUUUUUCUUAUUUAUUUU